RNAcentral lists this transfer RNA (68 nucleotides) under Desmognathus wrighti (pygmy salamander). RNAcentral's name for it is "tRNA-Arg". The record is from RNAcentral. Lineage: Eukaryota; Metazoa; Chordata; Amphibia; Caudata; Plethodontidae.
AAGUGUUUAAUCUAAAAAAGAUUAUUAAUUUCGACUUAAUAAAUUCUGGAAAAACCCAGAAACACUUU